GCCAUUGGGUUCUAGGGCUGCAGUAG
RNAcentral lists this non-coding RNA (26 nucleotides) under Homo sapiens (human). The record is from RNAcentral. Lineage: Eukaryota; Metazoa; Chordata; Mammalia; Primates; Hominidae.